Molecule: long non-coding RNA, 1729 nt
Organism: Poeciliopsis prolifica (blackstripe livebearer)
Lineage: Eukaryota; Metazoa; Chordata; Actinopteri; Cyprinodontiformes; Poeciliidae
Exons: 2
Source: RefSeq, a predicted model, not a curated record
ACUCCUGCCCCGGGGCUAAAAGUCAAAGGAUCGCCGAGACCUGAUGUAACACUUGUAUGAUUCUCCCCUUUGAAACUUCAAACUCCAGUUUGUGAGCAAAGUCCUGUCUAUCUUCUGAAUAGGAAUCUCCGACCACAGACCAAACUCCAUUUGUAACCACUGCCUAUUUGUACCUUCUCCUCAAUGACUAGUUUUCAUUUCCCCAAGUCCGAUCUCAAAGGCAAGAGGCCAGGCAAGAAGCAAAACGGUAAAAAUGAACAGCAGCUGGAGGGAGAAAAAGACGACUGCUGUGGCCUGGAGGAGAUGAGGAAUAUACUCUGUCUCAUAUUGGGGAUUGUUUCUGAGAGAUCUGCAACACGGUGGAAAAGUGAGGCGCAUUGAGGAGCGUGUUGACGAUGAUAAGAGUGAAACAGGGAGACAAUAUGCUGCCUGAAGCAGAUUUGCGGUCGGCAGAAAGAGGGAGAUGGAGGAGAUAGAUAAACCCAACUGUCCCUUACCUGGGUCGUUGAAACGCAGCGUCCCAUCCUGACAGUACAUCCCUGUGAAGGCCGAGCUCUGACAGCGAGCCGGCGCGCUGAUCGACGGCCCAUGAGCCUCGGCGGCUCUCUUGGGCCCAGCUCGGCUGAGGCAGUGCCGCCGCCGCUGCUGGGGCCCUGCGGCUGACUGUGAGGCCACAGGGGGAUUAUCCCCUAAUGCCUGUCACAAUGAGAUUUGAUUGGAGUCCUGAACACCCAGAUUAAUAGUUUAACGAUGUAAAAAUACCUCAGAAUGAGCAGCGAGGAGUUAAUAUUUAGUAUAGAUUUAAUAAAUGUUUUUGUUUUCAGAUGCCUUUUUGCAUAAUUUCUUUUGAGAAAACAAGUUAUGCCUUGUUCUUAAAGAUUAGAUCAGAUCAUCACAGUGAAGGAGAUGUUAACCUUACAAGCUAACAUCAAGGGUAUCCCGGAUUUGACUGUUCUCAACAUGAAGCUUCAUAAUGCAAACCAAGUACCUAGAAAGAUCAAUGCAAUUUGCUGAAAUAAAAAAACACAACUUUUUGAUGCUUUUUGGUAUUAGCAUCACUCACAUUACAUGUAGAUUGGCACAAGCAUGAGAAACAAAGUCUUGAACAUUUUGUCACAUUCUCUGCACUCUGCUCAUCUCCUUUUCUGAGUUUGAUCUGCAGCCAUACUCCUGCUGAUGAGUAUCACUGUCAGAAAGUCACAUAGUGUUUGUGCACUACAAAAACAUCACAUGUUACCAAGUGCUUUUGGUCUAGUUUUUAGUGGAAACAUCUUAGUUCACUUGAAAUUAGUGAACAAGUAACAUUUUCAGCAAGAUAAAAGCACUUGUUUUAAGUCAAAAAUGUGUAAAUAUCAAUAAUAAAAAAAGACAAGUCCCACUGGCAGAUCAUUACACUUAUAACAAGAUGUUCUUCCACAUAUUACAGGUGAAACUUGUAUUUAUUUUAAAUCUGUUAAAUAAACAAGCUCUUAUAUGCUGAAAUGCAUUUGUAUGUUAGCUCUUAACCUUUAACCAAACUCAGCACAUUUUACAAUGUUGAAUAGUUUUAUUUCUGGUUUAUAUUAUUAUUAAAUUUUAAAAUGUGUGGAGCAUGUCUAGUCUGUUUUUGCUAAUGUGCACCAAAACAAAAUUUAUACUUGUAGGAUAAUAAAAAACUGAAAAGAACAAUCACUAGAAAUGUCUGACUUAUUUUUCAUUUUUGGAAGAAUAAAAAAAGCUUGGUUUUUCA